AUACGGAGGGUGCGAGCGUUAAUCGGAAUUACUGGGCGUAAAGGGUGCGUAGGCGGCUUGAUAAGUCGGAUGUGAAAGCCCCGGGCUUAACCUGGGAAUUGCAUUCGAUACUGUCAGGCUAGAGUAUGUCAGAGGUUGGCGGAAUUCCUGGUGUAGCGGUGAAAUGCGUAGAUAUCAGGAGGAACACCAGUGGCGAAGGCGGCUAACUGGGGCAAUACUGACGCUGAGGCACGAAAGCGUGGGGAGCAAACAGGAUUAGAAACCCCAGUAGUCC
Molecule: ribosomal RNA, 274 nt
Filed under: uncultured bacterium
Lineage: Bacteria
Description: partial 16S ribosomal RNA
Rfam family: Bacterial small subunit ribosomal RNA
Source: RNAcentral